CCCAACUUGUUAUAAUAAUAAGCACAUGUGAAUUGGACAUGACAAUCUGAGAACUCUUGAAAACAUUUUCUUUUGCUUUUAAAAUAUGUAUUAUUUAUUUUCGAGACAUGCUCUUGCUCUAUUGCCCAGGGUGGAGUGCAGUGGCAUGAUCACGGCUCACUGCAGCCUUGAACUCUGAGGCUAAAGCAAUCCUCCUACCUUAGCCUCUGGAGUAGCUGAGACCACAGGUGGGAACUACCAGGAGCGUUCAAUUUUUGUAUUUACUGUAGAGAUGCGGUAUUGCCAUGUUGACCAGGCUGGUCUUGAACCCCUGAACUCAAGUGAUCUGCCCGCCUCAGCCUUCCACAGUGCUGAGAUUAUAGGCAUGAGCCACUGUGCCCAGCAUUGAAAACCUCUUCUUAGUGGUAGGUAACACAGAAAUAAUGUUUUGGGUUUCUUAACUGUCCCUAAGAUAAAUGUCCCCAAGAUAGCCCCUGGGCUACUUUGAGAUGCACAGGGAAAGUCUCUCUUUAUCCCAGCUGGUGUACCUGUCCAGGUGUGAGAAACUUUAACAGACUCUGAUGAGGUUCUAUAAUGACGCACACACAGAACUCACACGGUUCACAGGGAUUUCAUGAGGUAGCUCCAUGAGGACAAUAUUGUGCUGUGAAUUUCUUGCUAGAACCAGAAACAGCAGGAGCCACUUCCUCAAUCGGGUCUUUUCUGGAUCAGUUUUCCAAUUUCCAUCCCAAUGGAGCCAUCGUCAGAUGACAUUGGAUUUUGGGAAGAACCCCAGGAUGCUUUUCCUGAUACAGCUCAGAUAUUUGUUGAGAAUCUGAAGUGUCUGCGGAUCCUGGAGUCGUUCUGCCUGGAACCUGAGGCACAUUGGUACAGCACUUUUAGUGUAUUAGUCCGUUCUCACAUUACUAUAAAGAACUACCUGUGCCUGGGCAAUUUAUAAAGAAAAGGCGUUUAGCUGAUAUGUGCUUCUGUAGGCUGGACCAGAAGCAUGGCCGGGGAGGCCUCAGGAAACUUACAACAAUCAUGGCGGAAGGGGAAGUAGGCACGUCUUCCUUGGCCGGAGCAAGAGGAACAGUGAAGUGAGAGUUGUCAUGCACUUUUAAACAACCAGGUCUCGUCAGAACUCACUAGCAUGCAAUAUUAUGACAACAGCAAGGGGGAAAUCCGUCCCCAUGAUCCAAUUACCUCCCACCAGGCCCCUCCUCCAAUAUUCAGGGUUACUACUGGACAUGAGAUUUGGGCAGGGACGUAGACCUAAACCAAUCGCUUAGCAUCUUCCAAAGAGUCCCUUAGAGGAAAGAAAUUCCUGUAGAUUCUAGAUAGUUUUGCUCUGCUCUUUCCCCUUUAAAAAAAAAAAAAAAAAAAA
This 1366-nucleotide long non-coding RNA is filed under the name Macaca fascicularis (crab-eating macaque). Its description in RNAcentral is "lncRNA (ENSMFAG00000055095.1)". Lineage: Eukaryota; Metazoa; Chordata; Mammalia; Primates; Cercopithecidae. The record is from RNAcentral.